This is a non-coding RNA of Thelonectria olida, 99 nucleotides long. Lineage: Eukaryota; Fungi; Ascomycota; Sordariomycetes; Hypocreales; Nectriaceae. The record is from the annotation of a GenBank genome assembly.
GCUUCCGUAGCUCAGUUGGUUAGAGCUUCGUACUAAUACUUGCGUUCUCGUACUGUACUAGUAAUGCGAAGGUCACAGGUUCAAGCCCUGUCGGGAGCA